This 322-nucleotide ribosomal RNA is filed under the name uncultured eukaryote. RNAcentral's name for it is "partial 18S ribosomal RNA". It matches the Rfam family "Eukaryotic small subunit ribosomal RNA", at positions 1470 to 1796 of the family's 1831-position model. The record is from RNAcentral.
CCCUUAGAUGUUCUGGGCCGCACGCGUGCUACACUGAGUGGAUCAGCGGGUCAGGUUGCGCGAAAGUGUUUCCUAAUCUUGAAAUCCGCUCGUGAUGGGGAUUGACGGUUGCAAUUUUCCGUCAUGAACGAGGAAUACCUUGUAAGCGCGGGUCAUCAUCCCGCGCUGAAUACGUCCCUGCCCUUUGUACACACCGCCCGUCGCUCCUACCGAUUGAGUGGUCCGGUGAGGCUUUGGGAUCUGAGUAAAGAGAGCGUUUCGCUCGUUUUGCCCGGAAAACUCAGUCGAACCUUAUCAUUUAGAGGAAGGAGAAGUCGUAACA